AAAUAAAAACUAGAUGUUUAUUUCCUAAUUUAUUUCAGGGAGAAGAAAAGCAAAAACCAAACAGAUGACAAGAUCAUGUAUUUCGUACAAUGACUGAAAUAAAUGUUGCAAGGGUUCUUUGCGUGCUUUUCUGCAUCUAGUUGAAAAACAGCUACCUGCUGGAGUUCUGACUGGCCUUAUAGCUCCAGUAUUCAGCUGUCAUCUGGGUAGGUGCAGCUUCUGUGCUCAAACUGAUGAAACGUACUGAGAUUGGUUAGCGAGUGACUAGUGUGCCUCCUCUUCCUGGGUGCAGUAUCUGCUUCAGUGGAACAAUCUGGAUAAUUAGGUUGUGCAAUUCAUUCUUGGCUCCGAAGAGGCUGGUCCUGAACAUAUCCUUACAGUGCAGAAGAGUCAAUAAAUGCUUGUUACGUGAUGGGAAAAUAGCUGUCCUUCCAGCCUGAUGAAGGUAAUUCACCAUGGGGAAUAGAUGUCACCAUGAGUAACACAAGACUUGUCUCUUCAAAGACAA
Molecule: long non-coding RNA, 508 nt
Organism: Ochotona princeps (American pika)
Lineage: Eukaryota; Metazoa; Chordata; Mammalia; Lagomorpha; Ochotonidae
Exons: 3
Source: RefSeq, a predicted model, not a curated record